This 56-nucleotide transfer RNA is filed under the name Calophya californica. Its description in RNAcentral is "tRNA-Phe". The record is from RNAcentral. Lineage: Eukaryota; Metazoa; Arthropoda; Insecta; Hemiptera; Calophyidae.
AAAUAAAAUUCAAAUAAUUUAAUAUAGAAUAUAAUUUUGAAGCAAUUAAAGUAGAA